This 900-nucleotide ribosomal RNA is filed under the name Triticum aestivum (bread wheat). RNAcentral's name for it is "partial small subunit ribosomal RNA". The record is from RNAcentral. Lineage: Eukaryota; Viridiplantae; Streptophyta; Magnoliopsida; Poales; Poaceae.
AUGACGUCGUGGUGGUGCGGCGCGUUGAGGGUGAGGAAGCGGCGGAGCAUCUGGCGCAACUCCUCCCCGGCGAUGAUCCCGUUCUCCACGAUCAUCUGCACCAUCGACUGCCGGAAGUCGCUCAGCGGGUCCUCGGACUGCUUCACCACUGCCACGCUGCCGUCGAGCCCAACUUCCACGCAGGCGUCAACAGUCACCGGUUCGACGCUGUCACCGACGCGGCGAUCCUUAGCGCCGCCCGUCGUGACGUCGCCGCCCUUGACGCCACUUUUCAUGGUCGCCUUCUUGUGCUCCGGUGGCGGUGUCGAGGCUUUCUUGUCGCGGUUGCGGUGGCUCUUCCGGCCCCACGACACGACGCUCUGCUCCAGCUCGUUGAGCUCGCGCAGCAAGCCGGAGAAGCUCUGCGUGGCUGCCGAUCCCUCCAUCUUGAAGUGGCCGUCGUCGCCGCAUUCGAACUCCGCCACGGCGUCCUCCCAUAGCAAGGACGACGACGAGGCAGAGGUCAGAGUGUCCGUCGUCAUCGACGCCGACGGGUUGGCCCUCCCGCCCCUGCGCCGCGUCUCGGUUGUGGUCGAUGUACCCGCGCCGGACGGCGAGGGCGACGCAGACACCGACGCGGGGACCACCGACACGCUCUUGGCGUCCUUGCAGCCACACCCGAGCGCGAACCCGGCACCGCCGUGGCGCUUCUUGACCGAAAUGCCGGGGCUCAACAUUCUUUCUGUUCUUGUCCUUCCGGAGUGUGCGCGUGUGGGACGGCACUACCACCCGGAGGGACUUGCUCGUGUGAGGCUAAUUGCGCAGCGCUCUAGGUUGUCCACUUUUGGUUUAUCUUGCUGGGUCGGGGCCUCGGGGCUUUAUAUAGAAGAAGAAGUGUGCAUCGCUCAGCUAGGCAGCUAG